CACCUGAAGCGCGUCGCGCCUCCUGCAGGCGUCCGUCUGCGGCUCGGCGGGGUGUCGCUGGAAGACGUGGAGCUGCUCUCUGCACGCCGCCUCGAGCCUUUCUGACGGCGCUCAGGACGUCCAUGAGAGAAACAUUGAAGCUGAUUGAAACCGUCUCCUCAAGAUCCUGAAGGUCUCUGAACACGUUUGGCUUUGGCUCGCCUCACAAAUCCACAACGCAAACAGCGGCGGCCGCGUCGGACCGGCUGCCGACACGUCUGCUCAGCGGCUGUUUAUUUAAACCUGCGCGGCCCCUUGCCGGGGGGGGGGGCUCCUCGGGGGCCUCCUCGGGGCCCCCCGGCUUGUUUGAGAAUCCGUUCACACCUGGGGCUUAAAUUACUGACACUAACAAUGCAAGAAAU
Long non-coding RNA from Gasterosteus aculeatus aculeatus (three-spined stickleback), 401 nucleotides. Lineage: Eukaryota; Metazoa; Chordata; Actinopteri; Perciformes; Gasterosteidae. The record is from Ensembl.